GGACUCCAGGAAAACCCAUGGCCAUGAGGUUGAUCCUGUUUUUUGGUGCCCUUUUUGGGCAUAUAUACUGUCUAGAAACAUUUGUGGGAGACCAAGUUCUUGAGAUUGUACCAAGCAAUGAAGAACAAAUUAAAAAUCUGCUACAAUUGGAGGCUCAAGAACAUCUCCAGCUUGAUUUUUGGAAAUCACCCACCACCCCAGGGGAGACAGCCCACGUCCGAGUUCCCUUCGUCAACGUCCAGGCAGUCAAAGUGUUCUUGGAGUCCCAGGGAAUUGCCUAUUCCAUCAUGAUUGAAGACGUGCAGGUCCUGUUGGACAAAGAGAAUGAAGAAAUGCUUUUUAAUAGGAGAAGAGAACGGAGUGGUAACUUCAAUUUUGGGGCCUACCAUACCCUGGAAGAGAUUUCCCAAGAAAUGGAUAACCUCGUGGCUGAGCACCCUGGUCUAGUGAGCAAAGUGAAUAUUGGCUCUUCUUUUGAGAACCGGCCUAUGAACGUGCUCAAGGUACACUGUGCAGGGACGUUUCUUCCUCUCGAUGUUUCUAGAAUCUCCCUCCUCCCAGGCUAG
RNAcentral lists this small RNA (566 nucleotides) under Pan troglodytes (chimpanzee). RNAcentral's name for it is "retained intron". The record is from RNAcentral. Lineage: Eukaryota; Metazoa; Chordata; Mammalia; Primates; Hominidae.